CAAUAAAGACCAUGUCCAUAUGGG
Molecule: non-coding RNA, 24 nt
Filed under: Arabidopsis thaliana (thale cress)
Lineage: Eukaryota; Viridiplantae; Streptophyta; Magnoliopsida; Brassicales; Brassicaceae
Source: RNAcentral